GCUCGCUUGGCUAAGUGGUACAGCGCGCCACUUGUAAUGGCGAGAUCACUCGUUCGAACCGGGUAGUGAGCA
Molecule: transfer RNA, 72 nt
Filed under: Pseudozyma hubeiensis SY62
Lineage: Eukaryota; Fungi; Basidiomycota; Ustilaginomycetes; Ustilaginales; Ustilaginaceae
Description: tRNA-Thr (TGT) (tRNA-Thr-TGT-1-1)
Rfam family: tRNA
About the family: Transfer RNA (tRNA) molecules are approximately 80 nucleotides in length. Their secondary structure includes four short double-helical elements and three loops (D, anti-codon, and T loops). Further hydrogen bonds mediate the characteristic L-shaped molecular structure. tRNAs have two regions of fundamental functional importance: the anti-codon, which is responsible for specific mRNA codon recognition, and the 3' end, to which the tRNAs corresponding amino acid is attached (by aminoacyl-tRNA synthetases). tRNAs cope with the degeneracy of the genetic code in two manners: having more than one tRNA (with a specific anti-codon) for a particular amino acid; and 'wobble' base-pairing, i.e. permitting non-standard base-pairing at the 3rd anti-codon position.
Source: RNAcentral